This is a long non-coding RNA of Rhododendron vialii, 1246 nucleotides long. RefSeq lists it as uncharacterized. The record is from RefSeq and is a predicted model, not a curated record. Lineage: Eukaryota; Viridiplantae; Streptophyta; Magnoliopsida; Ericales; Ericaceae. The transcript is spliced from 2 exons.
ACAAUUCUCCAUAUGGGCACAAAAUAUGGUCAAAAUGGCCACAAGAUAUGGGUAGUUACUAGUGCUCAGAAACGGCUUACUACAAAACCAGUCCCAAAUCUUGAGACCACCAUGCCGCCAAUUUAUAAAUGCAAAGAUUUGUAAAAACUCUAUAAAAUAUACUCUAAAUCUCUGUAAAAUCAGAGAAUGGUGAGAAAGUUAUUGUGCUUGGCGUAGAUGAGAAUGACUCCUGAAUGGAUCUUUUCAAGCAUGGUCAUCGCCCUCUCGUUCAUGUUCUAAACAAGUUGAUCGAGAGCCGAUUUUGACUUUUUCCCUCUUGGUCUUCUUUGGUUUGGCCAAGUAAAAUCUGCAGAAAAUGCUUCUAGGGCCAACAAGGGUUGAGGAGGGAGUUUGGCGACCAAGAAGACGGAAGACGAAGGGUUAGGGUGCGAAGAAGGCUGGAGAAGUGGAGUAAGGCGGCGGAGAAGGCCGAAGGAGGGGUGUUCGGCGGCAAAGAAGGUCGGAGGAAGGGGGUACGGUGGCGGCAAAGGCCAGAUGAAAGGGGAUUUGCAGACGGAGUAAGGUCUUGCGGCGGAAAAAUCCAGACAACACCAUUGUGGGGAUUUACGGUCUGUGGGAGGAGUGUGGGGUUGCGCGAGAUGGGAAUAGUAGGGUUUUAAGGGGGAUAGGAGACUAGGGUUUUGGGGGAUAUGUUUAGGGUUUUGGGGGAAAAGAAAAUAUUGGGUAUAUAUGGGUCCCGCUCCAGGAAAUGCACAGGUGGGCGAGAGAGCCCAUUUUCGCGAACUGCCAACCCUCAGAUAAGCAUGAGAUAUGGAUCAGUCCUUUGAAAAUUAUGCAUGUUGCUGACAUUCAAGAAUGGACUACCCGAAAACAAUGACGGAAAAAAGACACUGUUGAAUGUUUUUUUCGCAGCAUAAUUAACUGUUGCUAUGAUUUAGGAAGUACUGGUUUCAAAGAGAAAGUGAUAGUGGCUUUGAAGCAAGGAAACUUGGUAUAGUUACUUUUGGAAGAUGGUUGAAGAUGGUCGAUGAAGUUUGGACGGAGCCUGAAGUAGCAACUUCGCAAUUGGAGAAGAGUCCCAAAAAUGUCGAUGAAGUUGGGCCGGAGCCUGAAGUAGCAACUUCCCAGUUGGAGAAGAGUCCCAAAAAUCUGUAACUGAUCUCCCUGUGUAUCAGUAGAAGCAACUGUACAACAAACAGUUGUAAAUUUUUUUGAUUAGGUAUUUUCAUUGCAUCCCUUUUAUUUU